AGUCACUGACAUUAGAUACCCCUGUAGUCCAGGGUGUAAACGCUGCAGACUUGGUGUUGGAAGCCCUUUGGGGGCAUUCAGUGCCGGAGAGAAGUUGUUAAGUCUGCUACUUGGGAGUACGUCCGCAAGGAUGAAACUUAAAGGAAUUGGCGGGGGAGCACCGCAACGGGAGGAGCGUGCGGUUUAAUUGGAUUCAACACCGUAAAACUCACCAGGGAAGACUGUUACAUGAAGGCCGAGAUGAAGACUCUGCUAGAUUUUCAG
This 264-nucleotide ribosomal RNA is filed under the name uncultured archaeon. RNAcentral's name for it is "partial 16S ribosomal RNA". It matches the Rfam family "Archaeal small subunit ribosomal RNA", at positions 718 to 982 of the family's 1478-position model. The record is from RNAcentral.